GUGGGCCGCUAUGGCUGGCUGACCCCACUCAUCGUCAACCGGCACCACGGCAGCUGCGGAGAGAACCUCCUAAUUGUUAUUAGGCUAUCCGAGAACCCGUGGUGAGAGCUUCUCUCCAUGUCACAACUAACCAGUGAGGACUUGCGAGAGGAACUGAAGAAAAAGGAAAAAAGCCAUGUUAAGUUUUCCGUUUGCUGGGUGUCGGCCGAAUGGCUGACUCGACGUAUCAAGAGGCAAGAUGAACCCUAAAGCCAGUGGAUGAACCAAGAGAUCCAGGUUGAAGCGUGUGGGUGGUGUGGGCACUGAAUGUACCAAGAUUCUCUGGAGGGAAAUAUACAUGCUGGAAUGCAAGAAGGCCCUGGCGAAUCUCGAAGACAAGAUAUAGGCAUUUUUGUGUUUAUUUUUACUUUUCCGUUGGGUGUCUGUUGGUGGAAUGGUCUAGGGGGUUUGUAUUGUGCUCUGCAGAAACUUGGUAUCUUUGGUCAAUGUCAACAAGUAGCAGACAACAUAUUGGAUUGGUUGAAUGAAUGUGUGCUUUUUCUGUUGGCUCAAA
Triticum aestivum (bread wheat) is the source of this 553-nucleotide long non-coding RNA. RefSeq lists it as uncharacterized. Lineage: Eukaryota; Viridiplantae; Streptophyta; Magnoliopsida; Poales; Poaceae. The record is from RefSeq and is a predicted model, not a curated record. The transcript has 2 exons.